RNAcentral lists this long non-coding RNA (2306 nucleotides) under Homarus americanus (American lobster). RNAcentral describes it as "uncharacterized LOC121869305". Lineage: Eukaryota; Metazoa; Arthropoda; Malacostraca; Decapoda; Nephropidae. The record is from RNAcentral.
UCCAAUAUAAUAUGUAUACAGGGAGCACAUUGUGAGUUUCCUUUCUCCAUCCCAUCCUGAGUGUGAACCAAUAUCCCGUACCCCACAGUGUAAUACCCACAGCCAACUCAGGGGCGGAUCCAGCUGCGGAUGGGGGAACAUGGCGAGUGCGGCAAGCCCACCCAGCUGGGUUGCAUUUUGAAGCCAUGUGUAUUUGAUACUAGGAGAUAUUUCUGAUGUCAAUAGCAAUUACUUUUUACUAUACAAAAAUGCCUGAGUACAAUACUGCAUUCAAGAAAAAGUAUUGUAAUUUUGUGAUGAAAAGGGGGUCCAGAGCCCCCCGCCUGCAUCCUGACAAGAAUCUCAUUAAAAUCAUAAUGAAAUCAUACACAAUCCCUGUGGGUCCCGGUCAAAUAGCCGAUGGUUAUUUGACCAGGAAUCCCGGUCAAAUAAACACUUUAAUAAAAUUACGUUUGAAAAAUAACUAAUGACCUUCAACACUUUGUUAGCUUCUAGAGUGGCAGAAGUUUCUCUCAGCUGAACACAAUACCUAGGUGCAACACUACUCCUUAAAGGGUUAAUGCUGGUCAUAGCUCCUGCUUUGACCCACCUUAACACUUGCAUUUUAACAUCUAAAGUGAUGCUUUUACUUAACACAUCUGUCACAUUUCCAGCACUAAAACUUAGGUGUUAUUGUAGUUUCAGCCCCAACUCAGUUAAGAGCAUUUUACUGAUAACUCAGUAACCACUCAUUUGCAAUGGAAAUGAAAGUCGAAUUUGUACGAAUCAGACCAAAUACCAUGGGAAAAACACAAAUUUAUGGCAGAACAGUAGUUGGGGCUAAAACUGCAAUUUUACCCAAACUUGCAGGUCUUUUCUCAUAUAUUAUUAGAUUAACAGGUAGAUAUUUAUUCAGUAAAAUUUCCACAUAAGUCAGCUGUAACAGUAAACAAACUUCUCGCUCGGCCUCCAGUACCACAGUUGCCUGUUAUAGUUAUUCAACAUCUACUACAUUAUGUUUACCAAUGAUCAGACGAAAAAUUGCAAAUUAAAUCAUUAUUUGUUCAGUACAGUACUUUUUUAAAUUCAUGAAUUAAUAUUAAUAUUUCAACAGCUGAGCACUUGUAUUACAAACACUUGUUACUCAGCAACUCUAGGUACUUGGAGUAUGAUAAGCAUCAGCAUGUGUUGUCUACUGUCUACACCUCUUUAUUGGAAACACGAGUUAAACAAUAACGCCCGUAUUAAUGAACAUCUUCCCUUGAAGAAUUUCAUGUCAAAAGCUGUAUUUUUAAAUGCGAAGAACCUUUUACUGCAGCGCACGAAUGAGUGUGGUGGCAUGAAAACGAACUAAUAGUACAUAACUUUCCGUUAUUGCCAAAUGCAAGCUGCGGGAGUCAUCUCAUCUUACUAACGCUAGUACUAAUCAGGUUGAAUUGGCCAGAGAAAACUUUUAGAAAAAUGAAUCGGCAAGAUUGGGUCUAGAAUUUUGGAAUAACUUGGGAGACCAAUAUAGACAAGAGGCACAGGCAAGGUUGGAGGAAGACCACAGACGACGGCACAGAAGACGACUCCGAAGAAUUGUAGCUGACCGCAUGAACCCAUUCACAGCAAUUAGCGAUGAUGAAUUUGUUGACCAGUUUAGGCUCAGAAAGGAAUUGGUUCGCAUAAUCAUCAAAGAAAGUCAGGAUCUGCCUCCUGUUGCCAAUUAUAAGAGGUUGUGCUGUUCCUCCAAACCUACAUGUCCUAUUAGCAAUACUUUGCAUGGUGACUGGAAGCCGCCAACUAUCAUUUGGAGACUGUUAUGAUGUGUCUCAAGCCUGUGUCAGUCUGUAUCUUCCAAGGGUUUCGAGAGCAAUAGCCAGCCUUAGUGAACAGUUUAUAAAAUUUCCUGCUGGCAAUGAUUUGCACAAAACAGUACAGGCCUUUUACAAUAUUGCAAGAAUGCUGGGAGUCAAUGGAUCCAUAGGUACUGUAUAGAGCUACAGUACCAGGUUUGGGCUGUUUGUAAUACUGUACUUGUAGUUACACUCAUGAUAUAAAGACAGGAGUUGAUUUUUUUAAUGUGUUGUCUUUUAAACUGACCUAUAUUUUAUAUAUUGAUGUUAUGGUCCAUAAGGAAAUACUGUAUACAGAGGUACCUGUAUAUACUGUAUAUUUAUACACAGUUAUUUAUUUUAUUAUGUCACAUAUGUACAGUAAUUUGAAAUAAUUGUAAAACAAUCACAUUUUCAAUAAACAUUCAACAAGCAUAUAUUUAAAAUUCAUACUUGUCAAAAAUGAUGGCAUUUUUUAUAUUUUAAGAUAACAAAAAUAUUUCUCUGUAA